GAAGAGGAGUGCAUGGUUUCCGGCAUUUGGCUGGGCCUUUGUCUCUCGCUCCCACCAGAGCUUGGAAUCCGUCUCUGCUCUUCUGCAUUCUCCACCUCGGGAGCCCCUGGGGACUCUGUGACGGCCUCUGUUGCCCUGUGAUCUGCAGGUCCGGAGAGACGCACAGCUAAGAUGUCAGGACAUCCUGGAAGCUGGGAAAGGGUCUUGCCAUCUCUAAGCUGGACCUGGUGACCUUUUUGGAGGGAAAGAAAGAGCCCUGGACUGUGAAGAGUGAGGAGACCAUAGCUGCACAGCCAGUCCAGAUGUAUAAUCUCAUCCCUGAACAUUUCUGAUGGUGUGAUUAUGACAUGUGACUUUAUCUGGCAACAGAGUGAGUUGUUGCUCCCGCCUGAGCCCAGCCCCCAGAAAGGAUUGUGACAUAUCGUUGGACCCAGAAUUGAGGUGCAGUUUUGACACACUUCUGUCUAGCAGCUGAGUAUUGUGAUCUUCAGAACUGGCCCAGCCUACAAAUAGGAUUGUGCCACACUGCUGGACCCAGCACCUAGAUGAUGUAACUAUUCUCCUGCCUUGGUGCUACUCAAAAAAGACAUUAACAUAUCUCAGAGCCUUGCACCCAGAAGGCAUUGAGACAUGGCUGGGCUCAGCACUAAGAAGAUGUGAGUCCUCUGCCUGAAGCCUGACCACAGGGAGCAUUGUGACACAUUUCUUGACCCAUUACAAUCUCUUCUACGGGCAAAGCUGAGGUGGAAUUGUGACAUAUAACUUGGCCAAGCACACAGAUGUAAUGGUGUGGUGACUCUCAUACCUAGAACUGGGACCUGUGCAGGAUUGUUAAUUCAUUACUGGACAUUCCUGUGGGUGUGAUUGUUACAUAUGCCUAUGUUCAGCACCCGAGUGAUUUGAUUUUGCUGCCUGGUCUCAGUCCAAAUGUAAGAUUGUGAUUUAUCGCUGAAUCCAGCACCUCGGUGAUUUGACUCUCCCUUUUUUUGUGGGAGGGAUCCUGCAAAUUUUGGGUAUUGUCAAUUAUUGCUGAAUCCUGUACCCAUGUUAUGACUCUCCCAAAUGUGCCUUACCUGUUGUGGCACAAUAUAUCACAUUAGACAUUGUUAAAUAUUGUUGGGUUCAACACCUGGGUGAUGGAUGUAACUUUUUUUCUGGGCCUGCCUACAGGGGACCUUGUGACAUAACUCAAUGCCCAUCAUCAUGGUAAUGUUACUCUCUUCUCCUGCCUGAUCUCUGCUCACAGAGAAAUUGUGACACAUCACUGGCCUAGCAUCUAGGUGAUGUGACUCUCCUCUUUUUUUCAGGCUCUGCAUAUUUGGGUAUUGUGACAUAUUGCUGAACUCAACACCUAAGGGAUGGGAGUCUCCUACCUAGGCCCUUCCUACAGGGGACAUUGUGACAUGUCUCUGCAUUCCUCAUCCAGGAGAUGUGACUCUCCUUUUCUGCCUACACCCUGCCUACACAGAAAGUUGUGGCAUAUUGCUGUGGUCAGCAACCAGAUGAUAUAUUUCUCCUGCCUGGGUCUUUAUUACAGGAAAGAUGAUUGACAUAUUACUGGGCCCAGCAUCCAGAUGAUGUGACUCUCUUCUUCUGUUGGUCCUUGCUUACAGGGAAACUGUAGCAUAUUGCUACACCCAACACCUAGCUUAUGUGAUUCUUCUUUUAGGUUUGCCUUCAGGGAACAUUGUGACAUAUUGCUGGGCCCUGCACUGAUAAUUUGUGACUCUUCUGCCUGUGAUUUGCCCACUUGGGGCAUUGUGACAUAUUGCUGGGUUUAACACUCAGGUGAUGUAACUUUUAUGCCUAGGCCUUGCUUACAGGAGGCAUUUUGAAAUGUCUUUGUGGCUGGGCAUGGUGGCUCAUGUCUGUAAUCCCAGCGCUUGGGGAGGCCAAGGUGGGCAGAUCACAAAGUCAGGAGUUCGAGACCAGCCUGGUCAACAUGGUGAAAACCUGUCUCUACUAAAACAAAACAAAACAAAACAAAACAAAACAAAACAAAACAAAACAAAACAAAUAAAACCACAAAAAUCAGCCAGGUGUGGUGAUUGGUGCCUGUAGUUGCAGCUACUCAGGAGGCUGAGGCAGGAUAAUCGCUUAAGUCCAGGAGGUGGAGGUUGCAGUGAGCUGAGAUUGCACCACUGCACUCCAUCCUGGGCAACAGAGUGAGACUCCAUCUCCAAAAAAAAUAAAAUAAAAUAAAAUAAAAAUAC
This is a long non-coding RNA of Homo sapiens (human), 2213 nucleotides long. Lineage: Eukaryota; Metazoa; Chordata; Mammalia; Primates; Hominidae. The record is from Ensembl.